GCAGCUGUGGGGAGAUUUCAGUGCAUUGCCUCCCCUGGGUGCUCUUCAUCUUGGAUUUGAAGGUUGAGAGCAGCAUGUUUUGCCCACUGAAACUCAUCCUGCUGCCAGUGUUACUGGAUUAUUCCUUGGGCCUGAAUGACUUGAAUGUUUCCCCGCCUGAGCUAACAGUCCAUGUGGGUGAUUCAGCUCUGAUGGGAUGUGUUUUCCAGAGCACAGAAGACAAAUGUAUAUUCAAGAUAGACUGGACUCUGUCACCAGGAGAGCAUGCCAAGGACGAAUAUGUGCUAUACUAUUACUCCAAUCUCAGUGUGCCUAUUGGGCGCUUCCAGAACCGCGUACACUUGAUGGGGGACAUCUUAUGCAAUGAUGGCUCUCUCCUGCUCCAAGAUGUGCAAGAGGCUGACCAGGGAACCUAUAUCUGUGAAAUCCGCCUCAAAGGGGAGAGCCAGGUGUUCAAGAAGGCGGUGGUACUGCAUGUGCUUCCAGAGGAGCCCAAAGAGCUCAUGGUCCAUGUGGGUGGAUUGAUUCAGAUGGGAUGUGUUUUCCAGAGCACAGAAGUGAAACACGUGACCAAGGUAGAAUGGAUAUUUUCAGGACGGCGCGCAAAGGAGGAGAUUGUAUUUCGUUACUACCACAAACUCAGGAUGUCUGCGGAGUACUCCCAGAGCUGGGGCCACUUCCAGAAUCGUGUGAACCUGGUGGGGGACGUUUUCCGCAAUGACGGUUCCAUCAUGCUUCAAGGAGUGAGGGAGUCAGAUGGAGGAAACUACACCUGCAGUAUCCACCUAGGGAACCUGGUGUUCAAGAAAACCAUUGUGCUGCAUGUCAGCCCGGAAGAGCCUCGAAGUAUCUAACAUUUGGCUGGGGAGCAUUGAGGGACCUCCUGGCUGGUGCAUGGGGCCAGGACUAGAGUGAGGCCGGAGAGGUUCCUAGGAUGCAAAAUUGAAGGAGGCAUCCCUCUCAGGUGCUGACUCUGGCCUUGCACAACCCUGAGAAUGAGGCCUCCUUAGAGGUGGCUCCUCAGGUGCCUGGCUUGCCUCACCCUAGUUCUGGCCCUGCUGCUAGGCCAAGGAGAGGGGAGCUAAUUUAGUGAAUACCAAUCCUCUGCCAGACCCCACUCAUUGCCAGGGUCAUCUACUGAUGUAAAGAUACAGAAGCUCAGGGAAGGAUUGGAGUUGAUGUCCAAAGUCAGCAUACUUGGUUUCAAGGGAGGUGCUGUAUGUGUUAGAGUGGAGCGGGAAAUGAUCCUAAGCUAGUGAGAGACAGCCAGGAACAGAGAGGAACAUGCAGGCACCAGAACCAAAAAUGGAGGGUUUUCUGAUCAGAGGUUCUGGAUUCUGGCAAACAGUGUGCAUCAAGGCCAGUGCUGUGUAGGAGAGGAAAGACUUGAUUGUGUUGACAGAGAGAGGUUGAUAAGUGAGGGGUUAAAGUUAAACCAUAACCCAGUUAGCAAUCAGGAUGUGGCCUGUGGACUUUGCCUGUCACUAGGGCCUUCAGGAGUUGGCUGUGGUUGGCUGGGGGCAGGGAAGAUUGGGUGAGGAUGGAACAUACCUCAUACCUCAGGCCAGAGACCUAAGUCUGUGGAGGCACCUUGUCUCCAGCUGGAGAGGGGAGCACGGCAGAUCUGUGUGCUUCCUUCUCAGAAGUCCAAUUCACAGAGAAAAUCGAGCCAUUAUGGGGGCUCAUGCAGCUUCUCCACCCACAAACAUAUCUGUGUCUCCCCCAUUCUUAUCUCUGCCCUGCCAUCCUGAGGCAGAGGAAGGUCCCUUCUGCUCUGGGCUUAUCUGGCCCCCUGUGCCCAGGUGGUAUCCUUCUCAGGAACCUUACAACAUGGCUCUUUGAGCUCACUUUCUGUUGGUUUCUACCAUUCAAUGGAUACGUUUGCUCAAUUCUACUACUUAAUUACUCCAGCUCCAUUCUAUGUCUUUUUUUCUUCAGCUCCAUUCUGUGUCUUUCUUUUUCUUAAGAUUGCUUUCCUGAGAUACAAUUCACAUACCAUACAAUUUGCCCAUUUAAAGCGUUCAGCUCAAUGGUUUUAGUACAUUCAGAGUUGUACAACCACCACCACAAUCACGUGUUUCUUUCUCAACAUAGCCAAAUAGCUUGCUAAAGGUCUGUGUUUGGUAUCUUACUGUCUCAUCUCCCAUUAACUCCUCAGCGCACUGCAUUCUGGCUUAUUCUACCUCUACUCCAGCUUAGAUCACCAAUGGCACUGCAAUUAUCCAUCCUCAGCCUUCUCUCCUUCAGUAGCAUUUAUAUGCACUCUAUGUUGGACACAGUUCCACACACACCCAUGGAUAUACUUAGUCAACUCUACACAAGUUUUCCACAAAUCCUUCAUAUGCAACAUGUCUAACCUACCCCUGCACACCCCUCCUCAGCCCAUCUCCCCAACCUCAGUUGUCUAACUAGAUGCCUGGGGGUGUGCUUGAUUCUUUCCCUUUCCUAGACCCCUAAUCUAACAGGUCAGGUCAACAAGUCCUUGACUCCUACUACAGACUCUUGAAGUUGUCUUCCUUCCAGUCUGUCACUGCCGCCUUAGUUCUGGCUGUCUUCAUCUCUGUCUUGAACUGUAGGCCUCUAACCAGUCUCUGCUUUCUCUCUCAGCCACUGCUCCUCAUUCUUCACGCGGCUCUUGGUGCCAUCUUUCUAAAUCACAUUAAGAACUUUCUCUUCCACUGCUAAUAAUCUUUCAAUGUUUUUUUCAUUGCCUGCAGAAAAAUGCCAGAUUCUUGGUUGAGAUAGUCAAGGUCCUUCCUGACUUGGACCCUGUCAUCUCUCCAGCGAAAUUCUCCAGCACACCCACAGAUGCCACUUUUGUGCCAGACCCAUUGAACUCUUUCUAGUUUCUAAAAUCAUCAUCCUGUCAGGCCUCCAGAUCUCAUGCAGAACAUCCCCUCUGUCCUUCUCCAUAUUGUCUGCCCAACAAACUGGAUGUUUCCUGUAAGUCUUAGGUUAAACUUUAGAACUUUUGCUGGCAAAUUCUCACUUGCUGCAUAUAGAAUUGGACACCCUUUUUUCUGUGCCCCUCUGUUCCCCAUACAGACUUCUGUUGUAGCGCCUACAGCAGCCUGUGGUUUUCUGUUGACGUGUUUGUCUUCUUCCUUGGAAGCAGGGACCACACAUCAUCAUUCAUCUCUGAAUCCCCUGUACCUAGUGCUGUCUGGCCCUGAGGAGGUGUUUGCUUUAUGUAUUUAGAAAGAACCAUGCAGAUGAGUAGAAGGUUCCAUAUGGGCAGAAGUACCUCCGGAGGCUUUACUUGGUAUUGUCACUGUGGGGCUGAGUCUUGCGGCAUGAGUUCUUUUGAAGACAACCACUUGCCCUAAGGAAGAUCAGCAGCCUCUAAAAUGCCUGUUAUUUCUGGGUCACUUGUUAAGCCAAAUUUUAGAAUAGAAUUGUUGAUGUGAAAGGAAACUUUACUAGAGGUGAACUGCUAGCCUCUUCUCCCACCCACCUUAAUCUACAUCUUAGGGUAAACGAGGGGGUUAGACUUUGGUUCUCAAUCUCAUGGAGACAGUGUCCCUAGUGUCCAGAUAUGGGGUGGAAUCUGGCCUUCCCCUCCGCUUCCUGGCCUGGCUGGUGCUACUUGGUAUAGGGCUGUGGGGCUCUCAGCUCUUUGCCAAAGUAUUGAGACCCUCUCCUUGCUUUUCUACUUUCCCAAGCACUGGUGACCCCGGCAGCCCUGAGGCCUCUGGUCUUGGGUGGUAAUCAGCUGGUGAUCAUCGUGGGAAUUGUCUGUGCCACAAUCCUGCUGCUCCCUGUUCUGAUAUUGAUCGUGAAGAAGACCUGUGGAAAUAAGAGUUCAGUGAAUUCUACAGUCUUGGUGAAGAACACGAAGAAGACUAAUCCAGAGAUAAAAGAAAAACCCUGCCAUUUUGAAAGAUGUGAAGAGGAGGUGAACACACGCUUCAGCCUAAAACACUAAGUAGAUGCAGGCCUGGGCCGUUCUCAUUCCUCCGGGAACCAUAUCUUACCCAUUGUAUGUCGCAGCUUGCAGGCCAGUGCUUGGCACAGAGCAGGGACUCAGGAAGCCUUUGUCACUAAAGUAAGAGCCUCUGCGGAGUACAGUGCAUGGGGCCGGCUGGGCCAGCCCCGGGCAGCAGAUCCUGGUAUUGGGCUGAGGAAAGAGCACUGCGCUUGGAGUCAGAAAGAUCUGCCACCUCCCUGAGUCUCAUCAGCAAAAUGAGGAUAAGGAUAAAGAUAUUAUAGUUGCCCAGCCUGCUUGACGGGGUUGUUGUAAGGUUCACAUAAGAUGAUGAUAUGCAAAUGCUUUGUAAUCUAGGAGGUGCUAUUUGUCUAAAGUCUAAUGGAGAAUUAUAAUACAUCCAGGAGUUAAGGAGUUCUAAUGCUUAAAAUGAAAUAGUCUAAGAUCUUAGCAAGAAAGGAUUAAGAAGGACUUUUCUCUCCAUAUUGAUUUUGUAAUGGAGUUAUAAAUAAUUGCUUCUAGAGACUGAGAAAUGGAUUGGUUUUCUUUAACUCCUAUUCUUUCUUUUCUUUCUUUAAUUUUUAAAAAACUCUUUGAAUAGUUACCUUUCUCUAUUUUGGGCUGUUUUUGUCCCAAGAGUAGGAUUUUCUCCCAGUAGAGUGCAGUGGUCCAAGAAUGGGCCACUGGAUGAUACUGCUUUACCAACAAGUGACAGGACCAUGAACCUCACAGUUGUGAGCUUCAAUGAGGGCUGGCCCUGCCACAUAAAUCCUCUGAGGGAGAUGAUGACAAUUCACUGCUGAUUAAUGCCAUUCUGCCUUUACUGUAAUUAGAAGGAAAUAACCCCAGAAUACAAGGAAUUUAGCAAGAUAAGGAACCCCUGCUGCUACCUAAACAUCCAUCUAAACAAAGAUGUGUGGCUUUUGAAGCAAAGAGUUUGGUUCUUAAGACUGUGUUCUUUGACAGUUAAUUUUCAAGAAGACUGAAGACUGAAUUAUCAUUGUUGAGAAUUCUCUAGGUCUCAGUAACCCUCUGAACCAGCAGUUUGGGUGGUCGAUGCCCAGCAAAUAGGAGUGGGUGGCCUUUUCUCUGGUGUAUAAGAUUCAUCUAAUUUUUAGGAAUUUGUGUACCAUUUUCCCCCUCUAGAAACACAUUUACUCCCCAAUAAUUGUACGGGAGGUGAUCAAGGAAGAAGAACCAAGUGAAAAAUCAGAGGCCACCUACAUGACCAUGCACCCAGUUUGGCCUUCUCUGAGGUCAGAUCGGAACAACUCACUUGAAAAAAAGUCAGGUGGGGGAAUGCCAAAAACACAGCAAGCCUUUUGAGAAGAAUGGAGAGUCCCUUCAUCUCAGCAGCGGUGGAGACUCUCUCCUGUGUGUGUCCUGGGCCACUCUACCAGUGAUUUCAGACUCCCGCUCUCCCAGCUGUCCUCCUGUCUCAUUGUUUGGUCAAUACACUGAAGAUGGAGAAUUUGGAGCCUGGCAGAGAGACUGGACAGCUCUGGAGGAACAGGCCUGCUGAGGGGAGGGGAGCAUGGACUUGGCCUCUGGAGUGGGACACUGGCCCUGGGAACCAGGCUGAGCUGAGUGGCCUCAAACCCCCCAUUGGAUCAGACCCUCCUGUGGGCAGGGUUCUUAGUGGAUGAGUUACUGGGAAGAAUCAGAGAUAAAAACCAACCCAAAUCA
Molecule: small RNA, 5611 nt
Filed under: Pan troglodytes (chimpanzee)
Lineage: Eukaryota; Metazoa; Chordata; Mammalia; Primates; Hominidae
Description: retained intron
Source: RNAcentral